RNAcentral lists this long non-coding RNA (1558 nucleotides) under Salmo salar (Atlantic salmon). RNAcentral describes it as "lncRNA (ENSSSAG00000097233.1)". The stretch from base 1003 to 1084 matches the Rfam family "mir-221 microRNA precursor family". The record is from RNAcentral. Lineage: Eukaryota; Metazoa; Chordata; Actinopteri; Salmoniformes; Salmonidae.
GUUAAGCUGAGGGUGGGAGGCGCUAGGUAGUUAAGCUUGCUUGCAGCUAGCCCAUUGAUCAGUAUGGACUGGGACUGCCACAACAGACACUGCUCACAGACAGACUUACCAACAGACAGACUGACCAACAGACAGAGGACAGCACCUAUACUCCGUAGGCUACUGCAGAGAGAGAGAGCAAAAAAGAGUGAGAUUGCCACAACAGGUUUCCAUAGACUGCUGUAGCGAGAGAGUGAGAGAAAAUGAGAGGGAGAUGAGAAAAUAGAGAGAAUUGAAGAUCAGAUAAUGAAAGAAGGGUGACCAGUGAAUGGAGAGAAGAGAUAGAAGAUAAAUAAUAACAGAAAAAAUAUGCAAAACAAGACUAAGAGAAAAAAACGAUAUUAGAGAGAGAGAGAGAGAGAGAGCGAGAGAGAGAGAGAGAGAGCGAGAGAGAGAGAGAGAGAGAGAGAGAGGAGCCAGAGCACGUUGUUCGCAGUGUUCUGAGCAGACACUGUCAGAUCGGCAACAACUCGACGUGGACCGUUCAACACAUGCAGUCACAAAAGAGGAAAGAAAGGUGACAAGGAAAAGAGCUGCCACUGAGAGAAAGAAGAGAAGCGGGAGAGUGAGUGUGUGAAUUGUGAAGCUGGACUGGAAGAGAUGCCAGGAGCCCUGGGUCUGGGAAUCACACACACAUCAAACACAGUAUGAAGCUGCCUAGACGUGAUGACAGCGCUGCUAUACAGACUGGCCUUGCAGAAAAACUCCCCUCUUUGCCCAGUCAGGAUUACUUACUGCAAGGGUCUUAACCAGCAGUACUCCAUCUCAGAGGCUAAAAACAGACACGGAGAAACCCUUAACAAGGCCUUAUUAGAUUACUAGUGAUCCUCAGCUGGAUGUGUUUAAAUGAGUCACAAGCUCCCAGGUAUUCAGUGACAAGAGACGGCGGUCUUUGCUUGGACUGUGCCAAGCAAGGUUGGCCAUUUUUGGGUCCUUGUGGACGGAUGGGCAGACGUGUCGGUGUCUGUCAGCUGCUCAGUAGUCAGUGUAGAUCCUGUGGGGCAGUCAGCAGCUACAUCUGGCUACUGGGUCGCUGAUGGCUGCCGUGUUCUUCAUGUCUCAAAUAUUGUGAUUAUGAUUUAGUAUAUGUUGUAUUCUAAAUGUACAUACAGCCAUCUUUACUUCAGUUUGCUGGUAGGUUGUUGACCUGGCAUACAGUGUAGAAUUCUGUGUGGGUGAUUCUACAGCUACAUUGUCUGCUGGGUUUUAGGCCCUACUCAAAUAAUCACUCACUUAAUCUCACGGUAAGUAUUUUCUCCCAAUUCAGAGACCGUGUGACAAUGCUUUUUCAUCAAAUAAAUACAAGUUAUAAAAGCAGAGUUGUGAUUUCUAAUGAGGUCCGCUGUAUUUGGAUUGUUUUUUUUUGUCUAGAAAGAACAAUAUUUCACCGUGGCCUUGAAAUGUACAUUGUCUUAGAAGUUGCAGCACAAAACAAUUCAUUAUUUCUGCAGACAUACUGUACGCACACACUGGUGAAAGUAAUUACAUUCAUGGAUUAUUUGACAAUUGUGUUUAAUGA